UGGCUACUUAUUGGGAAUAACACAGCUGAAAGAGGAAGAGAAGAGGGUGAAAGACAGGUCAUUUCUUGAAAAAUGGUACAGGAAAUGUUUGGUCUCAGCAGAUAAUUUAAUUGCAUGGUCCAGUCUGUAUCGUUGUUUCAGGCCAAAUGGAAAAUAAGAUCCGUAGGGCUGCAGAGCCAGAAAGGAGAAGGAUCAUCACCAUGACUUACAGUGGACUUCAAUCGAACUAAAUGUGGCUGAAAUGCAAUGGAGGAGUACGGCAAAACAAAAGGGAGAGAAAACGACUGGAGAAACAAUGGAAGAGCUGUGUUUACAGAGUAGUACAAAGCUGAAAAAUUUCCAUACUAUGUUUACCACCAGCCACAAUGUGUGGCAGCAGAAAUGCCCGUUUUGCAGACGUGUCCGUCAGGUGGAAGGUGCCUGGCCAAGAAUAAGAGAGUUGUGAAGAGAUUUGGGACUGUGUAAAUAAACUCUGAGCAGAGAUCACACGUGAGGGAGACUUGAGAUAUUUUUGAUACAUCAACCACUCAAGAGCAUGGAUUUGUUUCUGCUUCUAGGGAUUUCUGUGAAGUCACCUGGGCUGAAAUACUCCUUUCAGUCUGUCUUUGAGCUGUCUGCUUUCAAACUACCUGAGACAACAGAGGUAAAAAUUUAGAUAAACAUAGAACUGUUGGAUUUUCUCUCCUGGCAAAGCACUGUGGAACAGGUACUCCUUUUAUUUCCAUGUAUUUACAAUUAUUUUUCCACAGAAGCAAACUUCUCUGAGCUACUUGAAUGUCUUGGAACAUAGCCUUGCAAUCUUAACCUGCUUUGGCUGCAGUACAGCUUUAGUUUCUCUGGCACCCAUUUCUGGCUUUUCCUGGUAGAAUGAACACCUGUAACAAUGAAACAGACAAAUAAAUAACGUAGUUUGGUAAUUGGCCAAACAUAAAUUAGGCAUUUCAGAAGAGAUUAGGAAAGAUAGCAAAUCCAUGAGGCUACUGCUUAUUUAGUCAAACACAGGUAGAAAUUAAAAGGAAAGAUUUUUUUUUCAUGUGUUCACUAGGUUUCUCAAGGAUGAUUAUGGAGCCUUAAAAUGUGCAGCCAUAAACAGCAGAAUAUCACAGAGAUGCCCCCACCACUGCCAUCUUGGGUUAAUUCUCCAGAUUUCCCAGUCUGGCUAAUUCAGCUAGCAGGAAAAAAUACUGUGGGAUUUCCCCUUUGUGACCUAUAACUGUGAAUCAGACCCCAGACCUCAGGCACCAGACUCCCCUCACUCCAGAAUAUUUGUAAUGAGAAAAAAAAAAAAGUUAAAAAAAGAAGUGCUGUGUUUACUGAUCACAGUGCCAGGUACAAUUGUUUAUAUAUUUUUGAGGUUUUAAUCAAUUAGUCUAUAAAACUCAAUGGGAAACACUGUAUGCUUUGUCAUGAUUAAAAUUCUUGAGACAGUAGCAUUAAGUGUAAAUGACACUAUGUAACAGUAAUUACAUAUUAUUGCUUAGAUCUUCUGCUAAUGUAAAUUCAAAUAACUGUGUUUGAGGCCAUGUUUCUCUAAGUCACUCUGUAAAGAUUUCAAGUAAGAGAGAUCAAUUUUAAUUAAGCACAUGUUUUAGAGAUCAUGUGAAAGUGGAGACAAAAAAAUAUAUUUUUUUUACUAACAAUUUAUUGAAUAUAUUGUAGAAGAUUAAGAUUCUGUGUUUGUUGAUUAGGCUUUUUAUGAUGUUACAGAAUUUGGAAUUAACAAAGAUCAAGAAAAAGCUAAUUUUUAUCUGUGAAAAAAUGCAAGAAUAAAGAAUUCAAAGGUCCUUUGAGGAAUGGUCAUCCUGAACAGAAGGAUGUUUCCAAAGUUGAUGAGCUCCUCAAAAUGGCCACAGAUACACUCUUCUGUCUCCAAGCCUAAAGUGACCACAGGUAAAAUCAUUUUCUCUCUAAAAAGCUGGUCAGUACAGGAGUUGAAAAAUGUAAAAAUGGUUUCUAUAGCAUAAAAGCUGAGUGCAAAUCUACAAAUGGGAUCAAUCUGCCUCACUCCUGCUACCUUAAUCCAGCACCUCAAGAAUCAAUGUUUCAAGUCAAUCCUUCCAGAUGAGGUGCUGAUUGACUUCCAGGCACUUCCAGAGGUAGGAGUAAGGUUGCUUUUGAAAAUGAAAGGACAGUCUCCACAAAGGAGUAACUUUAUCUCAUGUAAAAUACUAAAAAAGCACUUUUCUGUCAUGGCAGAAUGUAGAGGACUGUGUGUCUGUGGUUCAGGCAGAAGCUCAGCAUCAUCACCUCCUCUGCCAAAUCUUCCUGCCUUUUGUCAUGCCAAAUGGAUGAUGACUCUAUAAGAGAAUUGUUGCAUGGGAUAUGUUGUGCUCUGGAACACAGAAAAAAUGUAUCAUGGAGGAUCUUGGCCAGAGGCCCCUCAGUUCACUUCAGGCAAAAGUUGUCCCAGGAUUUGAAGUCAUCCAUCUGAUGUUACAAUACUCACUCCAGAAAAGCCAAGGAGAAAAUGUUCCAGCCAAAGCUCCCAAGAUUCACAGUGCUUGCGCUAAAAACUUACAAAUGCACAUAUUUGGACCAGGAAAAGAUUUCUCUCUGUGAUUCUGUGAUUGCAAAAGAGGAAUGGUUUUCUACAGAGAUCUGAACUAUCGCCAAGCAUGCAUAAAACUCAACGGAAGAACAACCUCCAGAGCUCCAAAAUUCACACUUUCAGAAUGGAAUACAAGUUCCACAGGACUUAAAGAGAUAUUAAGAGAAAUCUCUUAACAUCUGCUCCAAGAGGCAGGUACAAGAGACCUGGCAAACUCCAAGGAAUAUGAGAGAGACUGGAUCUGACAGCAGACUAAAGACACAAGGUAGAAAUCAAUCAUUUGAUAAUGAAUGGUAAUGGAUCAUGGUGAAGAGAUCUAAAAGCAAAGACAAACAGCUUGUGUCUGGCAUUACAGAGAAGGGGAGUGCACAGAGAAAACAGCCAUUGGUGGAGCAAAGAACUAGGAAGAUGGUCUUAGCAGCACCAGCAACAAAUAUCUGGAUUCUCAGGCUAAAAUGGAUAUAAUGUCUUUGAGCCUCAGCGUGGAAUGCAGAUUCAGCAACACUGAAGCUGGAAGAGGAACAAAUGGUAUUUAAUGUAGAUACUGGAAAAUGGCUAAUGUGGAACCAGCGUGGUGGAAGUGAGAACAUAUAGGGCUGGGCUCAGCUUACUGAGCUGAGUCUUUCACUGGUGCAAACCCUGCUUCUUGACUCUUAGUGAGUUAAUUACAUAAGGUCAUUCUCUUUUAAUUUCUGACCUAAGAUGAGGAUCAGUUGUACUCCACCAGGAAAAAAAUCCUUAACUUUUUAGAAAACAAAAGUGUGAAGCCAGUAUAUCAAAAGCAGAGCUUAAUUUUCACAGGUAGAAGAGAGUUGUAGUACUUGCUGAACUUGCUACUUCCCUGUACACUUCUGUUCCUCUUUAUAUCAAGAGUUGUUCUGUUCCUCUUUACAUUUGUCUCUCCUGAAUUUAAAUGUUAAAAUGUAAUCUUCAGCUGACUAGGAAGGGUGAGGGUUUUCUCUAGAAUCUCCCUCGCUGUACUGGUAGGGGUAGUUUUAGUAGUUCAAAUCCAUGGAAUUGUCUGCCUUUCUGCCAGCUUUUGUAACCUGUACUCAGGUUAAUUUUAUAAAGACGAAAACCCUGCUUGCUGAAUGGGUCAUCCAGGAAUCCAGCACAGAAACAGUCAAAACCUCCCUCCACCAAACUUUUAUAGGAUAUAAAGUGGGGUUAACUGUUCUUCCAACAUACUUCUAAGUCUGACACUACAGACUUAUUUGGUCCUUUGCUGUGAGGUACAGUUUGCUGCUUCCAGCAUGAGGCAGAGCUUCCAGUUCAGCUGUUCUGCCUUCCCCACUGCCGCCCGAUCCCUUGCAAGAAAGUGCCUUUGCUGUCCUGCUUCGUAUGAGUCAUUCUGAUGGCAUAGGUCUCUCUUCUCCUGCUUUACAUGCUAGUGUGGUUUUUACUAGCUUGUUUAUACGACAGCUUAUGCGUUGGUUUGAUAUUUUGCUGUAUGCUUUAUUUAUGCAGUUGCCUGUUGGGGUCUGGAAAGGAUUUCCCAUAAUGGUAGAUUGGCUGGUCAGACUAGAUUUUUCAGAUUCCUUCUAGCAGUGGUACUAAAUGUUAGUGAUUAAGUAUAACCUUAUGUCAGAUAUCAAUAACAGUAACCAAGGCUGGUUCAAUAAUAUGUCUGGGGGACCCUUCCUAAAAUAAAUAAAACAUAUGGCUCAAGCCCAUACCUAAAGCUCCCAGGCUUUAGGGACUUAAAAUUUAAGCCCUGUAGUCACCUUUACAGGUAUUUUUUCCCCACUCUCACUCUUGGGAAUAUGAAACCACAGGCACACAGCGUAACACAGAUAUUUAUAUUAAAAAUGAAAUGAAGCAUACCUUGAAUAGUACAGUAGAGGCAAUACCAGCCUUUGAUUCACAAUUAUUAUUUGCCCCACUGACUGAGACCUAGUCAGUAUUUAUUUUGUACCCACAGGACAUUUGUGCUUUUCUAGUUCACCCACCCCUCCCCUCAUGGUGUACUUAAAUAAGUUUUGGGAUGCCUAACCAGGCUUUAUGGGCUGUCCUGCAGCCCAUGGGGAGAUGCUGGGGAUGCUGACUGGCAGCAGGGGGUCAGCACUAGUCCCAUCAGAAACAGCUCUCUCUUGUCCACAUCAGCUCUGCUCAGGGCAUUGGCCUGAUUCAGAGAGAAGGAGAUCAGUUGCCUGAAGCCAUUUCUUGCCAUGCCAGGGUGAGCAGCUUUCUACAGGGUAUCUCUCUUCUAAAAAUCACAUUCUCUUUACUGACUGCAGAUAUCAUACCAUACUGUGCUUCCUCAGUGGUUAUCAAACACAGAAAGCAGACAAAUAUAUGUAUGCUCUGUUUAGCUUAAAAAGACGAGUCCUUCAAAUGUAACAAAUGCCAGAAUUAGGGUUCUCUUGUGUGUCUUUAGAAAAAUAGUAUCUUUAAAUAUAUAACCAUGCACUGUUGUUUUCUUCUCAAUUAAUAUGUAGGUUUGAAUAUGGCAGUGCUGAGUUGCCUAUAAAAUAUUUACAGUGAAUCAUCUUUCUUUUAAUGUAUCUGGAGAACCUGAAAGCAUUUGGUGUUUCUGUUGUUCAGAAAUAUAGCAUAAUAGUCAAUUCAGGUAAUUAAAAGGAGGUAGUAUUUUUUUCAGUGCUGAUUGGGCUGUUUGAUUUCUGUUGUGGCGAAUUGUACAAGGAAAGACAACUAAUAUAACAUCCAUUUAAAACAUGCUCUGAUUAAUUAAUAGCAUAAUAAUAAGCAGGAUGACUGUAAAGGAAUAAUUAGAAUAAUAAAAUUGGCAUUUAUUUAUCACUGAAGUACCUUAUUCCUUCCUUUCAGCCUCACAGACGCAUUGGCUGUGUGUAGUCAGACUGUAAAGCAUUGCCUGUACCAGACUUUUACCCCUAAAAUGACGACAUUGUAUGUGUUAUUUAUGACAGUAAACCAUAUGACCAAUGCACUGUUAAUUGUCAUUAAUAUCCUAUUUGAAAAAUUUCCUAAUCCUGUUUAUUACUUUGCUAAUAAGUAAAUCUGUAGACAGAGGGUAUUUCGUGUUAUAUCUACUUCUUUUAAAAUGAACUUUAUGGCUUGUGUAAUGCCUAAAUAUACAUAUUUGUAUACAUACAAAUAUCGUUCUUGAAAGCUGAUCAACUGCAUUGGGUAUCUAAACAGGUAUUUUCAGUGAGACUAUUUCCCUGUUUUAAUUAUUUAGGGUACAACUUAUAGUGAGUAAAAGAAAAAGAAGGAAAUCCUAUUGCCAAGUAUCUAAAAAUCAGCUUGUUCACUUCUCUAAUACAAACCUUACUAGUACUGAAAAAUCAACAUUUUCACAAAACAGAGCUGUGAUUUCCAGAUUUUUCAGAAAGAACUAAAACAGGGUGCUGAAGCAAAGUUCGAUGCAGAUGAAUUAUAAUUAUUUUUUAUUAAAAAUACAAACAUACAAAUCAUUCUUAGAUGGACCAUUGCAGUAAGUUAGCCAAAAACACUUGAAGCCGGUAAAGAACAGAUUAUGUUGUUGUUGUUGUUGUUUUAUAGCAAAAUAUCAUGAUUUUUAAAUUCUUCUGCCUUUUUAUUGUUUUAAUUCUCUGAGUUAACUUGCAGUGAGCCUCCAGACCUUUGCUGAAGAGCAGAUGUACAAACUUAUUUAUAUGUGUUGGCAGCAUCACCAUCAUAAAUUGCUGGAGCCAUUGAAAAACAAUAAACUGAACUUGCUUCAAGAGGAACUAGUGCCUCUCAUCGGUAUUGCCUCUUUCGAGAUGACAGGAGACCUCAAGAGGCCUGAGAGUUCUUAGUUGUAUGAGUUUGUGACUAAUAGGUGGUUUGAUGGGACGAGUGCUCACCACCUAGGGAAAUUGAAGCAUCUUUGAGCUCAAUACCCUUUGUGUCUCAUUCUUCUGUAGGUUAUUGUUGUGCGGCCUGCGGGGACCUCUUUUACAGUUUGCAUCCACAGACAAUAUGCGAUCAGCAAAAUCCUUCUAGUUUUACUGUUGUUAUUGAUCUUCUGCCAUUCUGCGCUGUGGCUAAUUUGCUUGUUAGCAGUAAUUUUAAAAGAUUUUGGGUUGCAAGAAGUAUGUGCAAUACUCAAAGAGUUUUCAAAACAGGAAUUUACAAAUGAACUCUGAAUGGCUCCUAAACACCAUGGACCUCUCACUGUGCUUCUUCUGGUGAGGUAAAUAACAGGGAGGCCUAUGAUAAAUUUCACACAUCUCCACUGUGAUUGCUGAGGCCUAUGGUCAAUUCUCCAUCUUAAGGGAGAUUAGUAGGAGAAUGAUGGGAUGAGUUUGUCAUCCCUAUUAUAUAAAAUUGGAACUUCAACAUAUUACUAUCUUAUAUAAAUGGAUUGCAGAGAACAGCUGAAAUGUUAUGCGGAGCAUUUGAUUUCCAAGUUUGACACACGCUACCUGAAAUUCCCAAUGUUACAUGAACAUCAUCUUUAACUCUCUGGCUGUACCCUGGGACCUCCAAGGGCCACCCUGUUCCAGAUGUGCCCCUUGACCAGCCUCCAGCUCCCUGUUUGGACAAGGCUCUGAUGGAAAGUGUGGCUUUUCCCUCCCCCCUUUCCAUGGGAAGAAAACCAGGCGAAUAGGCUGGAAGAAAGAGAGCCACGUCAUGCUCCAGCUGAGCCCUCAGACCAGGCACAAGUAAGAAGUGAAAUCAGGUGCAGGAAAUCUGCAAUGAAGGUCUACAGCUUCAAAAAGCAAAUACUUGCCAAUGAAGGAAGAAAGCUGUUGGAAAGUAAAACAGAACACGUCCUGUAGAGCCAGUGGUACUCACUUAGACUCUUGUCCUCCCCUCCCUCCCAAGAUUCCUGAGCACAAGAACAAAUCAAAAUUGAUAGCAGGCGUAGUGAAGAAUAGUGUGUCUUCUCCAGUGCUGACCACUCUGAUAACACCUGUCAGGAUGAAAAACCUGAGGGAUUUGACUGAAGGGGACAGGCUGGAAAUGUCUCAUGUGGAAGACCAAGAGCCAUGGCAGAGCCUCUCUCCCGAGAGCUCUUACCAUCUACACCGUUCUCAUGAUGAGAAAGUCCUCCAGCCAUCUGCAGAGAAAAGAGCAAGCCGACACGUGUGGAGGAGACUGCCACUCUGAGCACUAUGCAAAGACUGUGCUCUCAAAGCUGGCCUUGCAGACAUGCUUGUGAGAGGAGAGGCAUUUCCGAACUUGCAGUGAGUGCAUUUUGGAUGGUGGAAGCUUUCCCCACUGCUAUGGCUUUUGCCAAGCAGCUCAGAAUUGCUCAAAGAGCAGUCAGUGUUGCAGACAGAAGAGAACUGUAGGCAUGUUUCUGAAGGACUUUCUGAAGGUGUCCGGUACAGAUAAAGCAACUUCUGCUCAGGCAUAAUUCAUAUAGAGGCAUGCUGGAAGGGUACAUAUGAUUCAGGUGAUGCAAAGCUGCACUAUUGCCACCAGAAAGCUAAUCUAGGUGUGGGUUUAGUGUAAUAUGAGCCAGCAAAAGACAAUUUCCCUAAUGAAAUCCUCUGGAAGGGAGAGCUCACUCAACACAAAACAGUGUUUAUAUUCUGCUGUUCUAGUCUAGUCUGGAGGGUAAUUACAUUUUAUGGGGUUAACAUGUAUCAAGGAUCUCAUUGAAGGUCCAAUAACAGUGUUUACAGCUGUCAACUGUAUUGACUGAAAGCACUGAUUGCCAUCUCCAGCACUACCAAGCCACUCAGGGUCUCCACUCAAAUCAUUAUGGACAAUGAACAUAAUAGUCACGAGCUCUUGGGGGCUUCCUGUUGGAGAAGGGGCAUUUUUAGCUUCUUUUCAAACUAAUUAGCCUUAGACCUGUGGCUUGGGUAUGGGCCUCAGGAACUCUUUUGGUUAACAUUUUCUGUCUUGUCCACAACAGAGUUAAGUGCUAUGAACAUCCUUUCAGAGAAAUAAUAUUUUGAAACCACAUGAAUGUUUACCCAGAGCAAGAGGAAGGGGUGCAAACAUUGUAAAGGGAGUUUGUGAUUCCUGUGCUGUUGCUUUCUGAAAGGCUGUUCUUGGAUUUUGCUGUAUUUGCCCAGCUCCGAUUAUGCUUUAAUAUUUCAGUGUGGAGAAAAUAAGUCUCUAAUGUAAGAAUGCAGCACUCAAGUGCUCUUUUCUCAACAUUUAUAUAUAUAUAUGUGUGUGUGUAAAAUAAAUGAAACCCUAGUUUAUAUUAAGGGAAAAGAUAUUCUUGGCAACGUAAAUUGGGAAGUAACUGGGGGAAAAUGGCUCUCUUUAAGAAAAGUAAGCAAAGUAGGUGCAAGCAGUGACUUUAAAUUGGACAUUAAACUAAUCCAGGGCUAUACUUUAAUAAAGGCUAGUGCUGGGAAUUCUUAUGGAUUUUCUAGCUCAUUGCUGGGAUGACAGAGAAAUACAAUAAAUGUUCUAUUACUUACACAAGCUGCUGGUUUUCAGAAAAUUAGUCACCAGUGACCUUUUACCCUUUGUCUUGCUCUCUUUCUCAGUAAAAGUACCUGAUCAGAAUCAAAUGCAGCCCUGGUCCAUGAUGGCAUUCCUCCGGGCUGCACGGGGCUAUGCACAAUCAGUGAGAAUUUUACAGCCAUGAUGUGGGCCAAGCUGGGAUGUGGUCUGAGAAGCUGGACCUCCGGUGACGUCUUCUUGUGCCUCUCUGUGCUUGUGCGUGCUUUCAGCGGGUCUGAAUCUGAUCUGCUCGAUGCGCUUCAGUGGAAAGAGAUUUCUAAUAGUAACUGGAAGCAGAUAUAGCCAAGGAAUCAGUUUUAGUAAAUCCCACUGAACUCUGUCAUGGCAGAGAGACAGUAUAAAUGCUCCCCAUGAGUCUGCUAAUGAAAUGCCUGGCAAAGCCAAAAAGGGCAAAGAAAAAAUAGAAAUCACAGCUGCAAUAUCAGCUUGAAUAAUAGAGCUAGGAACGGGAGAAUAAUAAAAGAUGAGCAAGAGGUCAGAAAUAACACAAUAUGAAGGCAAAAGGAAGGAGAGGAAUGCUUUCCAAAAAGUGAGGCAGAGUAGAAAAGAAGUGUUCCAGGUCCUGUGAAAUGCUGAUGUGAAAUGAUUUAGAAGAGGAAAACUGAAAAAUACUAUGAAGGCAAAAAAUAAUUAAUUAUAUGAAUUUCACGAGCUGAAAUUUUUCACCCUUCUCAGCUUCUUGUUGGGAAUAUUCCCCAUAGAGUCUGUGCUAGAGGCCAGGUAUUCAGUGACAAGUCUCUAAAACGGGCCUGAAAAUGGACACUUAUUUGUUGUACAAAGUACUCUUUUGAAUGUUCAAUCACCUUCUUUUUUUUUUCUUUUUUUUUUUUUUUCUUCUGUUUAGAAAUUUUGGCACACAACUUCUAAUUUACUCAAGCCAUAAUCUACUUCCUAGAAAAUAACUGGCUAAGUUCAUUUUAGGGAUCUUAUUCAUCACUUAAUGUAAAGGCAAAGGAGCGGCAUCGGGCACCCCUUUCCAGCGUGAUGUGGAAGUACAAACCUCAGGAAAGGCACAGGCUGGGGCAGUUUCUUCCCUGAGUUCCAUCUGCAUAAAGGACAAUUAAUUAAUACAGGUGUUAUUCUGGGGAUUCAGAUUAUUAUUAUUAAUAAUAAUAAUAAUAAUAAACAUCCAGUAGGAAGUAACCCAGAGCCGGAGAAUGAACACAGGUACAUGAUGCCCAGCUUCAGAGAAAGGAAAAUUGUCUGUCCCAUAUGAUCAACAUUCUCUGACUUUGCUGGAUUUCUGGAAAUCAGUGGAUCUUUGUCUUUCCUAUCUUCUGUGCUUCUAAGCACUAAAUCAGAUGUUAGCUGCUCAGAGACAUUGCAUUGCUGCAUAAAGACUCGUAGCAUAUUCCUGUAAAGGCAUAUUCCAGAACAAGUAAAAUGAAAAUGGCUUUUUGUUGUUGUUAAAAGUCUGCAGUCCCUGUGGAAAUUAUUUGCUUCAAAGACAACAGUGUAAAUAAACUUCCUUCACAAUAAACUUCAAAGAUAACAGUAAGAUGUAUGGUGAAGUGAAGGGAAUAAGCCUUGUAAAAAAUGUUUCUCAAGUAAGCUAACAGUUUGGAUGUUUCUCAUCUUCAUCUAAUCGUUUCCUCAUUUUUAAUCCACAAUUAUAACACAGGUUUAUUUGCUUGGGAGGGUCAAAAGCCUAGAACACUAAUACUUUAACGUUUUAAAGUAUUAUUUUAACCUUGCAAUUUGAUUUUAUUAAGUUAUUCUUGAAGCAUUCACAUUUUUAUUAAGAAUAGACUAAUAAAGACCAUCAAGGAAAAGAAAGAGAAGGCACUUUUAGAGGUAGAAAGCUUCCAGGUUUGAGACUUAAAACAAAAAGCCAUACAAAAUACUUUAUAAGUAUCGAUAUUGAAAUAUAUGGUUUCUAAUAGUAUCUUAACAUGAUUCGUUAUUCAAACAAAUUGAUUUGGCACAACAAAGUUCUCAACUUUAAACUAAAUUCAUCUGCAGGUACUUCCUCCGUGGUGUGAGCGGGAUGUAUAGGCACGGCUCUGUCAGACAUCCUCUACAUGCUGCAAUUCUUGAAUUAAAAAAAAUAAAUGAAAUCCAAAAUUCUGCCAUGGUGCCAUGUGAACAAGUACAUAAAGACAUAGUCACAGCUAUACCUGCCUUCUCAGACGUGGACAUGGCUUUGAGCUGCUCUCAAUUUGGAGGUUCUUCUGGCUAUGUGCUGGCGUUCGAGACCCAUUUGCUUUUCCCCGUUUAAAUCUGAAUGUUUUCACACUGCUGAUGGGAUUGGAUGUACAGUCCUCCUGGCAGCCUGCCUGUUACCUGCCUGUAUGUUUGUGCAAAUUAAAAACCAGUCAUGACAUACUGGCUGAUAAUAUUAUCUCCUCAGCCUUGGGGAAACAGCUGGGGAAGGAAAACCGGUUAAAACAGAAAUGUCUUGUUAUUAAGAUAGCUAUUUCUGGAAACAGCGGGGCAGGGGGGGCUCCUGGUGUAGGUAAAUGCCACAUGAUUCCAACAGAGAUGAAGAAAAAAACUGUGAAAUGACUGUUUCAGGUAACAGCAACUGCCAUUAGUGUUACACUGUAUUACACAUCCUUUUCCACAGGGAAUGCACUGUUCUCUUGCACCUUGUUACCUAUGAAUAUUCUUUUAAUGCCAGACAGCUACAGAUAUGUAUUUUGGGGAAAGCCACUAAUUAUGUUGAGGAAGAAAGAAAACUUGCCCUUUAGGUAUAUUUGCAUACUCUUUAUUAUGAGCCCUCUUAUGUAAUUAGUGCAAAUUGCCAAGUUUUUGCUCUAUACAGCUAAGGUAAAUUUUUGGAACAUGGACUAAAACUCCUGUGAUGUUUCUCUUACCUACUGUGGUGCUUUCCAGCUGAAUAUGUCUGUAUUGGCUUUUUCUUUUCCUUUUGUUUUCUCUCUUUUUGUAAUAGUAAGAACUGAUGUAGAAAAGCUUCAUUUCCUACUAUAUGAAUAAACUGCAAAACUCAUAGGUGCAAAGCUAGGCUACCACACAUACCUGUGUCUGUUCUCUCUUACCUUACUACAGUGUCCUGUGCUUUUCUCUACCUCUCAGUAUAAAUGCUUGCACAUAUAAAAACAUUAAUGUACCUAUAAAACACUGAUACGUUGUAUUCAACUUUGAAUGCUAUCAAAGUUUAAAUCUCGGUAAAGUGCUUUAAAAUCAGAUCAUCAUGCCUUUCAAGGAGCUUUGCCAAGCCAGGUCUUGGCAUUUUGUCUCCCCUGUAACAACAACCACGUGGCUUUCAGUGGUCCAUGCCGCUGGGUGCCUGCAGGCGCAGUCCCACCACGAUGCAGCAGCGAGAUGCUCAAAGAGCACAAGUCACUGCCCAGAUAUGCUGCUUCUACACCUGAAAAUAAAUAAAUAAAUAAAUAAAUAAGCCUUUAAAACAAUGAUUUUCAGAGAGCUUUCCUACUGUUUAAAAGGCUCCUACUGUUUAAAUGGGGUGUGGGGGGAAAGUAGGUAUUCUUAUACAUUAAUAUAUUAUGUGGGUGACUUGCAGACAGAGCUGUAGGUUUUGUGGUAACCUCCAAGCAGGUUAUCAGAGAGAUGAUGUACCACCAUUGGUGUUAGGUCCGUACCGGUUUUUAAAGGUCUGAGUAGAUAGUCUUUAGACAAUGAUUAGGUACAGAAACCUUGCUUUUGAAUGUUUAGCAUGUAAUGAAAAUGGGAUAAAAAUGGAAAGGUAAAAUUGCCCAGAAGUCUUGAUCCAAAAAAGAAACAAAAAAAAAUGUCUAUUUAGUGGCUAUGAGUCAAUGCACGGUGUAUGAACAAAUACGUAAAAUACAUAUAUUAGAUAAAAGAUAUCUGACAGGGUUCUGAGGCUCAGACUCUAAAUAAUAAGCUGAAAGCAAAUACAAUAUCUGAUCCAAGAAAAAUAUUUUUCAUAACUUUGAAGUGAAUCAUUUUAAAAUUAAGAAACAAAAACCUAGAACCUUCUGUUUUUAAGUUAGAUAAUUAAAUACCCAAUCAAUGACAAUUAUUGGAAAACUAUUUGGUAUUUUAUUAUCUUUGCCUGACUGAUCUGUAUUAUGGAAUACCAUGAAAAUUGUGAUUCCUUUUUUGAUAGAUGGAGACUGCUUUUAACAUGUAUUAAAGAGUACUUUAUAUAUAAUAUAAACAUAUCUAAAAGCAGUCAGAACAGUAAGAAAAAAAUACAAUUAACUGUCUCAGUGAACAGAAUACACCUGUAAGUGAAUCACAGGUGAAAACUUUAGGCAGUGCCUUGAAAGCUUACAUGAAGGUCACAGGUUACAUGUCAGAUGUUUCUGAAAGCAACUAAAGACAGAGCUGUUUGUUUAUUUAUUUGUUUUUCAAUCUAAUGGGUUUAUUUUAAGAAGGGAAAAAGCUGGAAUUCUUUAUUUAAUUAAAAGCCUAAUAUCAUAGACUUCAUGACCUCAUUACUAGCCUGGAGGUCCUUUACACAGUGCCAGGGACAACAUACACGUAUAAAAACAACCAUUUUACAGAUGAGAAUGAGACAGAAGAAAAGAAGCUUGUUAUAUGUAUGAGAAUUUGUCAGCCUUCUCCGAUACUCUCUUUCAACUACUUUCACCUAAUCUCUGCCAGUGGAGAGUGAAGCUGGUAUGAGAAGACAGGGAAUAGGAGAUGAGAGCAGCUGGAGAGUAGCUUUGCUUUUUUUGCUCGAUGUGCAAUGGAAUCAUCAGAGAUGGUUUUUCAGGGUGCUGGUUUA
This is a non-coding RNA of Anas platyrhynchos (mallard), 13583 nucleotides long. NCBI's taxonomy places the organism in Eukaryota, Metazoa, Chordata, Aves, Anseriformes, Anatidae. The record is from RefSeq and is a predicted model, not a curated record.